This is a non-coding RNA of Odocoileus virginianus texanus, 2909 nucleotides long. The record is from RefSeq and is a predicted model, not a curated record. Lineage: Eukaryota; Metazoa; Chordata; Mammalia; Artiodactyla; Cervidae.
CCAGGGGCACGCCGAUGGGUCUCCAGUUCUCUGAUGCGGAGAUAAUGUCGGAGCUCUUGGUAUGGUAGGCAUGUGGCCUCAGGAUCUAAUGAGAAUUUAAUACCAAGAUAAAUCGGUUUUUAAUUCAAGGAACUCUUUCCUGCAAGAUCUUUUGCCGCAGUGGAGAUUAAGAAGGAGAUAAGCUGCAAGAAUGAGUCCAACAUUUCCAAGCAAGGUUGUUCUUUCUCCCAGGUUACUUAAUACAGAUUCUGGCUGAAAAGAUUCAUCUCAAGGAAUUGCAUUAUUGAAGAUGUCAGUAAAAGAGUUCCUGGAUCUUGGAAGAGAAUUACUAAAACUGUGCAGGGGAGGAAUAAAAUUGAAGGGUGUUUUUCUUAGAGAACACCAUGUGUGAGAUUUAUCAAGAAUUCAAAGAUUUAUAUAAGGUAAAAAGUUCAUAAAUUUUUUUUUAAGAUAGUAAUUUUAUUUAAUUAAUUUAUUUUUUGGCUGUGCUGCGUGACACAUGGGGUCUUCCUAGCCACAGAUUGAACCCGUGCCCUCUGCAGUGGAAAUGCAGUCUUAACCACUGGACCACUGGGAAGUCCAUAUAUACUUUUUUAGUUUUGACAAAAGAAGACCACAAAAAUCUGACUUGAGAAAAAAAAUGGAUUUUGUAUUCGUUAUGCAUGGAGCAUAAUGUGGAUAUUAAAAAUUUUCCUUAUUCAGCUUUCAAAGAUAAAAAAUAUUAUUUCAAAGAUAGUGUAAUUUUCAUUUGAUUCAGGAGAGGCUGCUGGGUGGGUGGGGGGUGGCAGGACUUUUAACCUUGAUGGUCAUUUUUUUAAAAAAAAUAAUGAUAUAAUUCUUUCAGGCCCUGAAAUUCUUAGAGGUCAGAUAUUCUGGGGUUUAAAUUGGUUGAAUUAUUGGAUAUUCUAUGAAUAAUUCUUUGAUAUGCCAGUGGAUGACUAUCCUUUUACUUGAGCUUUGUUCAGGAACAGUGGACAGGCAGGUAGUCAGAGCUGAGAAUCUCAACCCUAAUACCAGAUUAACCUGAUAUGAAUUAGGCAUGGUAUCUUGGGGUGUUUCUCAAAUUUAACUAAGUUAAUUUUCUAUUUCUUAAAAUUUUGAUAUAAACUUUAUGGCCCUCAAUGAUAAGAUGUAUGAAAUAAAUGCAUUCGAAAACAGAAUUUAAACAUUAAUGGACCGGAUGAUACUGUUCUCCAGAAGUAAACGUCGUACUGGCUGCUGUUCAGUAAGUUUUAUAUACAUAUGGUCUUGUGCCUGUGAUUGUGAGGAUUUACAAUCUGGGCAACAGUACAGUUACCCAGAACUUUAAUCUUCUGCAGUCCUUAAGACUAGUGAAGUCAGGGGAGGGGCUCUAAAUUCUCAAUAAAUUUAAACACUCUGAAGGGUGUUUUUGGACUGUCUGCAAAUCCUUAUUUGAAGAAUUCUAUAUAACAUUAUCUCCAAACAUUCUUCCAGUGAGUAUUUCAGAGUCUAGGAAUUAACAUUCUUUUCAGGAAAACUUCAGUUUUUUUUUUAUAUAGAACUUGGCUAGUAAUUAAGUAAAUUGGGUUAAAAGUUGACUAUUUUGGGGGGGAAAAAAUUGACUAUUUUUUGAAUUAUCAACGCAAGUUUUUCUUUUUUACAUACAGGUCCUUUGCGCCAUUUCAACAUGCAUGAAUCAGUUUUCACGCCGAAGUUAGACAGCACCUGACCAGUUCAACAACACAGCUGAACUUUAAGUUGUCACAAUAUUAACUGUGAAUUAUUGCAUAAAUUUGGCUACCUCUCUUUAUUCCAGAAUCAUUAUGCAAAGAAAAGGUGUGCAUCAAGAAUGGUAACAGAAAAAAAGAAAAUGGUAACAGUUACAUCACUUCUUUCAAAGUCUUAGUCAUUGCCCAUCUAUUAGUUACACAGAUAGCAAAGCGUGUAACUGUUGCCUCCUUGUCUCCCAGUGAUAAACCCAUGGAACAUUUUACAAAAAUGGAUAUUCAGAAGAGGGAAUUGGUCAAUAAAUAUGACUGAACUACAAAGAAAUGAAAAGUGGUUAACACUGCAGGUAAAAUUAGUGUUAGAAGCUUUGAAAAUGGCCACUGCAAAGGAAAUAUAGGACGAUAUCACGACCUACAUGAAGCAACAGUACAAGCCACAUUUUAAGAGUCUGAUGAAUAUAAAAGCAAGAUAAAAGUUGGUUCAACAUCUGUUGGUGUAAAAUUUCACCAAGAACAGAAAGCUGCUUAUGGUUGAAAUGGAGCAUUUACUUUUCCUUUGUAGUGUAAUCAAGAACAAAUACUAGUCAGUUUGACAUUGAAGUUAGUUGCUACAUUGAAGGAAAUGAUAAUUACAAGGACAUCUGUUUACUGCCAGUAAAGGCUGGUUUCAUCUCAAAGUCAACACAAAUUAAUGGUAAACUACCUAGUGAAGCUACAAACUCAGAUAAAGAUGCUACUGUGAAAUGUGCACUCAAGAUUCCAAGAAUUACAGACAGUCCUUGCUUUGUACAAUAGUGAGAGGCUGUACUGUGGAAAAACUGCAGGAUUUGGAUGGGAUGUAAAUGGAUAUAAAGAUGACUGUGAGAGUGUUGACACUGCUGCCAUUCAAGAAAUAGUUCUAGGUAUGUAGGAGGCAGAACUUAGUGAAGUUUUAUGUGAAGAAAGCAGUCGUAAACAAUGAAUGUGUCUCAAAAGAAGUGAUGCUGUUGAACAACUUCACAUUGAAGGAACUCACAGAGCUGUAUCAUGAUAUUGACUUAAAAGAUAAAAUUUUGGAAGCUGAUUCAAAGUUGGAAAUGAGUAUGACAGUUUGCCAAGGCAUAGAUAAGAUGCCUUGGCAUCUUACUCCAUAUUAUAAGUUUUAUAAUGAGAAAGCAAGCACAUUUCAAAACUACUUGAUACAUCUUUUUUUAUAAAGGAAUAAAACAACUUUCAGUGUUU